UCACUGCUCUCAAGCCAGAAACAGCUCCUCUCCUCCAACCUACACGAGCUCUCCUCCCUGCAGACCCCAAGAUCUUCCCCCAGAGAACAGGGCUGCCAGGUUCAAUCUCAGAGAAGAUGUGUCACUUUCUUUAGUACUGGGAAAUGAACCCAGGAUCUUGCCACUGAGCUACCCAGCCCUUUUAUUUUGAGAUAGGGUCUUGCUAAGUUAUGCAGUCUGGGUUUGAAUUUGCACUCCUCCUGCCUCAGCCUCCGAGACUGCUGGGAAUUACAGCUCAGCAGGUGCCAGCCCCCUGGGAAAGUCGGAGGGAGAGGCAAUCCAAAGGCAGCCAACGACGAACCUGUGAGAGCGGGUGAUACCCAGGACAAGGAGGGAGCGAACCUCCCCUUCACCCACCGCAGAAGGACCGAGUUUGCUGGUGAUGGAUGAGGAUUUAGUGCCUUGAGAUCCCUGGAGCCCAGGAAAAAAACCCAGCAAAACCUCAGAUCUCUCUCAGAACAUGAUGCAUGAGCCACUUAACAGCAGAAAGAUGAGGAAAGUGCCAUCAGGUGCUCAAAAUGCAAUUAUGAUUGGAAAAACCAAAAACUGCUGGUUCGUUCCUAGCAGGUCCCUGAUCACCGGGAGGCAUGGGCAUCGCUAACCUCCAUCAUGGAAACUUGCCAGGCCGCAGGAGAUCAGACCAUUCCUUCUCAGAAAACACAGUGUGUUUCCUUCAUUCUUCAUCAGAAGCACUGCAUAUUAUUACCAAUAACACAGCUGUACCAUAUCAUCCUUAGAGCCCGCCCUGUACCCGGCUUGCUUGGACAUGUGACCACUUCAGUGCAUGAUUCCAGUGGCCGUUAUCAGAGAGCUUAGUUGACUUGCUCAAGGUCACACAGUGAGGAAGUCAUGGGCAGGCUAGAAUCCAGAUCUCAGGAUUUCUUACCCACAUCUAUUCACAAUCACCUUUCAGUAGAAUUUCUGGAAACUGUUAAAAUAGAUGGCCUGAAACAAGUGAUAUUUUCUUCUAAAAAGGCUCUGUAAAAAUCUCAGGGUUGGUAAUCAUGAGGAAUCAAUUACUCUCAAACAAAUCCCAUUUCAGUCAAAUUUUGCAGGCUGCCCAAUCUUUCCUACACUCCAAUUCAUUGUGUCUGCUGCUACUCGCAUUAUCUGGCUGCAAGACAAAUCCCAUCUUGUCACUCUCUAGGAUGAAGACCUCCAUCAGCCUAUGCAUCAGCGACAGGGCAUUGUCCCUGCCUAAUACAUUCUUACCUCGCUCUGUGGUGUGAUAUCCUAUUCUCUUGUCCCCAGUCCUGAAAACUAA
Molecule: long non-coding RNA, 1303 nt
Organism: Cavia porcellus (domestic guinea pig)
Lineage: Eukaryota; Metazoa; Chordata; Mammalia; Rodentia; Caviidae
Exons: 4
Source: RefSeq, a predicted model, not a curated record